Molecule: long non-coding RNA, 383 nt
Filed under: Cyanistes caeruleus (blue tit)
Lineage: Eukaryota; Metazoa; Chordata; Aves; Passeriformes; Paridae
Description: lncRNA (ENSCCEG00000020624.1)
Source: RNAcentral
AAAAAUCUCCAGUCCAGAGGGAUCUCCAGCACUCACACCUGAUGUGUUUUAGGGGAAGAUUUGUGUCAGCUGGGGACAAUUAAAAAUCUCCAGUCCAGGUGGUGGAGUGGGAUAAAAAGAGGUGGGGAAGAGGCUGAGUCCUUUGUGGGUGUGAGGGGAUGGUGGAGUUGCUGUUGCUCUGCAGUUGUAAUGAUCUGGAUAAUCCCAUUAACUGUCCUGGAGCUUGAGCAGGGCCCAUCAGAAGAAAACCUCAGGACUGCAGCACUCAAAUGACACAGGUUCACUAUUUUAAUGUCCAGCAGCCAGCAUCAUCCCACUGCACUGUUAAUAGAUUAACACCAGCUGGAUGAUUUGGUUCCUCUUUGAGAAGUUGAACUCCCUAG